GGGUGCGAUCAUACCAGCACUAAUGCACCGGAUCCCAUCAGAACUCCGCAGUUAAGCGUGCUUGGGCGAGAGUAGUACUAGGAU
This 84-nucleotide ribosomal RNA is filed under the name Arabis alpina (gray rockcress). Lineage: Eukaryota; Viridiplantae; Streptophyta; Magnoliopsida; Brassicales; Brassicaceae. The record is from RNAcentral. RNAcentral also lists the same sequence under 1 other name.